UACAGAGACUGCAAGCGUUAUUCGGAUUCACUGGGCGUAAAGGGUGCGCAGGCGGCCGUGUGUGUCAGGUGUGAAAGCCCGGAGCUUAACUCCGGAAUUGCGCCUGAAACUACAUGGCUAGAGCAUUGGAGAGGGUAGCGGAAUUCACGGUGUAGCAGUGAAAUGCGUAGAUAUCUGGAGGAACACCGGUGGCGAAGGCGGCAUCCUGGACCGAUAUUGACGCUGAUGCGCGAAAGCCAGGGGAGCAAACGGG
RNAcentral lists this ribosomal RNA (253 nucleotides) under uncultured bacterium. RNAcentral's name for it is "partial 16S ribosomal RNA". It matches the Rfam family "Bacterial small subunit ribosomal RNA", at positions 524 to 776 of the family's 1533-position model. The record is from RNAcentral.